UGCUUCAGGUCAGACACCAAGGAGGUGGAA
Molecule: non-coding RNA, 30 nt
Filed under: Homo sapiens (human)
Lineage: Eukaryota; Metazoa; Chordata; Mammalia; Primates; Hominidae
Source: RNAcentral